AUUGAACGCUGGCGGCAUGCUUUACACAUGCAAGUCGAACGGCAGCGCGGGCUUCGGCCUGGCGGCGAGUGGCGAACGGGUGAGUAAUACAUCGGAACGUGCCCAGUAGUGGGGGAUAGCUCGGCGAAAGCCGGAUUAAUCCCGCAUACGACCUGAGGGUGAAAGCGGGGGAUCUUCGGACCUCGCGCUAUUGGAGCGGCCGAUGGCAGAUUAGCUAGUUGGUGGGGUAAAGGCCUACCAAGGCGACGAUCUGUAGCUGGUCUGAGAGGACGACCAGCCACACUGGGACUGAGACACGGCCCAGACUCCUACGGGAGGCAGCAGUGGGGAAUUUUGGACAAUGGGCGAAAGCCUGAUCCAGCAAUGCCGCGUGUGUGAUGAAGGCCUUCGGGUUGUAAAGCACUUUUGGCGGGAACGAAAAGGACUGUGCCAAUACCACGGUUCGAUGACGGUACCCGCAGAAUAAGCACCGGCUAACUACGUG
Molecule: ribosomal RNA, 484 nt
Filed under: uncultured bacterium
Lineage: Bacteria
Description: partial 16S ribosomal RNA
Rfam family: Bacterial small subunit ribosomal RNA
Source: RNAcentral